GAAAGCUUGCUUUCUUGCUGACGAGUGGCGGACGGGUGAGUAAUGCUUGGGAAUCUGGCUUAUGGAGGGGGAUAACGACGGGAAACUGUCGCUAAUACCGCGUAGUGUCGAGAGACGAAAGUGCGGGACUGAGAGGCCGCAUGCCAUAGGAUGAGCCCAAGUGGGAUUAGGUAGUUGGUGGGGUAAAGGCCUACCAAGCCUGCGAUCUCUAGCUGGUCUGAGAGGAUGACCAGCCACACUGGAACUGAGACACGGUCCAGACUCCUACGGGAGGCAGCAGUGGGGAAUAUUGCGCAAUGGGGGGAACCCUGACGCAGCCAUGCCGCGUGAAUGAAGAAGGCCUUCGGGUUGUAAAGUUCUUUCGGUAUUGAGGAAGGUUGAUGUGUUAAUAGCACAUCAAAUUGACGUUAAAUACAGAAGAAGCACCGGCUAACUCCGUGCCAGCAGCCGCGGUAAUACGGAGGGUGCGAGCGUUAAUCGGAAUAACUGGGCGUAAAGGGCACGCAGGCGGUUAUUUAAGUGAGGUGUGAAAGCCCCGGGCUUAACCUGGGAAUUGCAUUUCAGACUGGGUAACUAGAGUACUUUAGGGAGGGGUAGAAUUCCACGUGUAGCGGUGAAAUGCGUAGAGAUGUGGAGGAAUACCGAAGGCGAAGGCAGCCCCUUGGGAAUGUACUGACGCUCAUGUGCGAAAGCGUGGGGAGCAAACAGGAUUAGAUANCCUGGUAGUCCACGCUGUAAACGCUGUCGAUUUGGGGGUUGGGGUUUAACUCUGGCG
This 775-nucleotide ribosomal RNA is filed under the name uncultured Haemophilus sp. RNAcentral describes it as "bacterial SSU rRNA". It matches the Rfam family "Bacterial small subunit ribosomal RNA", at positions 74 to 844 of the family's 1533-position model. The record is from RNAcentral. Lineage: Bacteria; Pseudomonadati; Pseudomonadota; Gammaproteobacteria; Pasteurellales; Pasteurellaceae.